RNAcentral lists this ribosomal RNA (464 nucleotides) under Vreelandella stevensii. RNAcentral's name for it is "partial 16S ribosomal RNA". It matches the Rfam family "Bacterial small subunit ribosomal RNA", at positions 339 to 795 of the family's 1533-position model. The record is from RNAcentral. Lineage: Bacteria; Pseudomonadati; Pseudomonadota; Gammaproteobacteria; Oceanospirillales; Halomonadaceae.
CCUCGGGGGGCUGCAGUGGGGAAUAUUGGACAAUGGGCGAAAGCCUGAUCCAGCCAUGCCGCGUGUGUGAAGAAGGCCUUCGGGUUGUAAAGCACUUUCAGUGGGGAAGAAAGCCUUGGGGCUAAUACCCUCGAGGAAGGACAUCACCCACAGAAGAAGCACCGGCUAACUCCGUACCAGCAGCCGCGGUAAUACGGAGGGUGCGAGCGUUAAUCGGAAUUACUGGGCGUAAAGCGCGCGUAGGCGGUCUGAUAAGCCGGUUGUGAAAGCCCCGGGCUCAACCUGGGAACGGCAUCCGGAACUGUCAGGCUAGAGUGCAGGAGAGGAAGGUAGAAUUCCCGGUGUAGCGGUGAAAUGCGUAGAGAUCGGGAGGAAUACCAGUGGCGAAGGCGGCCUUCUGGACUGACACUGACGCUGAGGUGCGAAAGCGUGGGUAGCAAACAGGAUUAGAUACCCUAGUAGUC